CUACGUGCCAGCAGCCGCGGUAAUACGUAUGCCACAAGCGUUAUCCGGAUUUAUUGGGCGUAAAGCGCGUCUAGGUGGUUAUGUAAGUYUGAUGUGAAAAUGCAGGGCUCAACUCUGUAUUGCGUUGGAAACUGCAUGACUAGAGUACUGGAGAGGUAAGCGGAACUACAAGUGUAGAGGUGAAAUUCGUAGAUAUUUGUAGGAAUGCCGAUGGGGAAGCCAGCUUACUGGACAGAUACUGACGCUAAAGCGCGAAAGCGUGGGUAGCAAACAGGAUUAGAUACCCUGGUAGUCCACGCCGUAAACGAUGAUUACUAGGUGUUGGGGGUCGAACCUCAGCGCCCAAGCUAACGCGAUAAGUAAUCCGCCUGGGGAGUACGUACGCAAGUAUGAAACUCAAAGGAAUUGACGGGGACCCGCACAAGCGGUGGAGCAUGUGGUUUAAUUCGACGCAACGCGAGGAACCUUACCAGCGUUUGAC
Molecule: ribosomal RNA, 481 nt
Filed under: uncultured bacterium
Lineage: Bacteria
Description: bacterial SSU rRNA
Rfam family: Bacterial small subunit ribosomal RNA
Source: RNAcentral